CACGAGUGCGAGAUCUAUUUAUAGAGUACAGGGAAGGGUAAAAUGGUAAAAUUGGUGUAAGCGCAUGCAUUUGGCGUGGUCGAAGGGUAUAUCAGGAAUUUCAUCUUCACGCGGGAAGUCUUCCGCGUUUCUGGCGAUCCCUCUGAUGGAGGUGAUCUCUCUGGCGUGGAUGACUUCUCUGGUGUGGAGGACUUCUCUGACGAGGGUGACUUCUCUGGCAAGAGCCAUUCCUCUGGUGGAUGAGUUGUCUCUGAUGGAUGAAAUCCCUCUGGUAAGAAUGAUUCUUCUGACCAGUAUGAUUCCUCUGGUGAGGAUGAUUCCUCUGAUUUGUAUCCUUUCUUUACUCUGC
Molecule: long non-coding RNA, 349 nt
Filed under: Salvia miltiorrhiza (redroot sage)
Lineage: Eukaryota; Viridiplantae; Streptophyta; Magnoliopsida; Lamiales; Lamiaceae
Description: long non-coding RNA (SMIL_LNC004463)
Source: RNAcentral